CGCAUAAUCUCUACGGAGAAAAGCAAGGGGAUCGCAAGACCUUGCGCUCUUGGAGCGGCCGAUGCCUGAUUAGCUAGUUGGUGAGGUAAAGGCUUACCAAGGCGACGAUCAGUAGCUGGUCUGAGAGGACGACCAGCCACACUGGGACUGAGACACGGCCCAGACUCCUACGGGAGGCAGCAGUGGGGAAUUUUGGACAAUGGGGGAAACCCUGAUCCAGCCAUGCCGCGUGAGUGAAGAAGGCCUUCGGGUUGUAAAGCUGUUUCAGCCGGAACGAAACGGUCACGGUUAAUAACUGUGACUACUGACGGUACCGGAAGAAGAAG
RNAcentral lists this ribosomal RNA (326 nucleotides) under Nitrosospira sp. RNAcentral's name for it is "bacterial SSU rRNA". It matches the Rfam family "Bacterial small subunit ribosomal RNA", at positions 170 to 490 of the family's 1533-position model. The record is from RNAcentral. Lineage: Bacteria; Pseudomonadati; Pseudomonadota; Betaproteobacteria; Nitrosomonadales; Nitrosomonadaceae.